Molecule: ribosomal RNA, 244 nt
Filed under: uncultured bacterium
Lineage: Bacteria
Description: partial 16S ribosomal RNA
Rfam family: Bacterial small subunit ribosomal RNA
Source: RNAcentral
UCGGAGUUUAGUGGCGGACGGGUGAGUAACACGUAGGUAACCUACCUUUUGGUUGUGGUAUAACUCAGGGAAACUUGAGCUAAUCCCCCUAUUGAUCUUCGGAUUGAAAGUCCUUCGGGGCGCCAAGAGAUGGGCCUGCGGCCUAUUAGCUUGUUGGUAAGGUAAUGGCUUACCAAGGCUACGAUAGGUAGCUGGUCUGAGAGGAUGAUCAGCCACACUGGAACUGAGACACGGUCCAGACUCC